This 282-nucleotide unclassified non-coding RNA is filed under the name uncultured fungus. Its description in RNAcentral is "partial contains small subunit ribosomal RNA, internal transcribed spacer 1, and 5.8S ribosomal RNA". The stretch from base 1 to 73 matches the Rfam family "Eukaryotic small subunit ribosomal RNA", at positions 1759 to 1831 of the family's 1831-position model. Lineage: Eukaryota; Fungi. The record is from RNAcentral.
GCAAACUUGGUCAUUUAGAGGAAGUAAAAGUCGUAACAAGGUCUCCGUAGGUGAACCUGCGGAGGGAUCAUUACCGAGCGAGGGCCCCACGCGGGCCCGACCUCCCAACCCUGUGCCGUCCGACCCGGUUGCCUCGGGUGGGCGCGCCGGCCGCCUCGCGCGCCGGCGCCGCUGCCCGGUGGACCCUUCAACGCUGCAUCGCUGCGUCCGCGUCGCUUGAGAAAUCGAAGCAAAACUUUCAACAACGGAUCUCUUGGUUCUGACAUCGAUGAAGAACGCAGC